This is a non-coding RNA of Aegilops tauschii subsp. strangulata, 1003 nucleotides long. The record is from RefSeq and is a predicted model, not a curated record. NCBI's taxonomy places the organism in Eukaryota, Viridiplantae, Streptophyta, Magnoliopsida, Poales, Poaceae.
UUCAAAAUGAUAGCUGGCAUCCAGAUUUCAGAAAAGAGAAUGAAUGUGCAUGUCCUACUUGCCAUGAUGUGUUGGUUGCCUACGCAGGAAAUGUGAUAAGAUUGCCGUGUUAUCUUCUACGUGCAAACAGCAAGAAUGCAUUUUGCGGAUUGUUGAUGCGUUCUUGUUCAUGCAGUGACUGAAAACACAUUGGCAGAAAAAAAAAGCGGAAGAAUGAAUCACGAAGACGGCAAUGAUCCUUGGUUUUCCCAAAGGCCGGAAAUGCCCCCUGGGGUGCAGCAGAGUACAAUCAACUCAUUUCUGCAGGGCCUUUGCUGCCACUACUGGAGCAGUACGCGGGCAUCGGUUCUUAUGACCAAACCACAGUCAGGGGGGCACCAUGGCAAGUUCAGUCACAGGGCGCUAACGCUGACAAAUGUAUGGGCAACCAACUUCAAGUAGCUCAUGUGGCAAAUCAAGGACCUUCAUGCAGCACGUGGCAUCAGGCGGCAACCAUGUACCUGCCAUCAACGUCGUACACAGGUUGUUACGGUGGAACCACAUCGGCAAAUGUCUCAUGGCAAGCUUCACAGUUGCAGGACAGCGCUAUUGCAGAUAUAGCACAUCAAAUUGGAAUGACAUACCAUAUAAGAUCGGCACAUGCGGCACAACAAGGUAAAAAAAUGUGAACCAGAAAACAGUACUGCAUUUGCUUUUGUGGGAAUAGCAUGUGAGGAAAAUUAGAUUUGUAGCGGUGGUGGUGGAAAAAACAAACAAAAAAUGCUACCAAGUGGUCGUGUGCAAAGAGUCAUCUAUUGUCUUCGGGAUUUGCCAGUUGCUAUAAGAGUGUGUGCGACAUUCAUGAUUGAUCGCAUUUGCCUAGUGAGCUCAAGCCUAGAAUACAAGUUUCGAUGCUGGAAUAUACUGGUUGCCAUGUAGUGGCAGCAGUAGUUGCCAUGUAUGUUGGACAGUAGCUGCCAUGGCUACAGAAUCCAAGUUUUGAUGCUAAAAGAAGCUGGUUGCC